GAAAAUAUGUUAAAUAAUGUACUUAAUUUUAAAUCAACACGUAUUUUUAUUAAAUGAUGAAAAAUCAAGAUAGCUUAAAAGAACAGCCGAUUUAUGUAAUAUUUUGUUGUAUGACAAAAAUGCGUGUAUACUUGGAGGGAAAAGCUGUGAUGAAAAGCAGUAAAUAGUUUAUUUCUUAUGUGUAAAAUAAAAGAAGGCAGUGUU
This 204-nucleotide long non-coding RNA is filed under the name Mytilus galloprovincialis (Mediterranean mussel). Lineage: Eukaryota; Metazoa; Mollusca; Bivalvia; Mytilida; Mytilidae. The record is from RNAcentral.